CGCGGGAUUAGAGUUUCAUCAUGGCUCAGAUUGAACGCUGGCGGCAGGCUUAACACAUGCAAGUCGAGCGGUAACAGGAAUAGCUUGCUAUUUGCUGACGAGCGGCGGACGGGUGAGUAAUGCUUGGGAAUAUGCCUUAUGGUGGGGGACAACAGUUGGAAACGACUGCUAAUACCGCAUAAUGUCUACGGACCAAAGGGGGGGAUCUUCGGACCUCUCGCCAUUUGAUUAGCCCAAGUGAGAUUAGCUAGUUGGUAAGGUAAUGGCUUACCAAGGCGACGAUCUCUAGCUGGUUUGAGAGGAUGAUCAGCCACACUGGGACUGAGACACGGCCCAGACUCCUACGGGAGGCAGCAGUGGGGAAUAUUGCACAAUGGGGGGAACCCUGAUGCAGCCAUGCCGCGUGUGUGAAGAAGGCCUUCGGGUUGUAAAGCACUUUCAGUUGUGAGGAAAGGUGUGUAGUUAAUAGCUGCAUACUGUGACGUUAACAACAGAAGAAGCACCGGCUAACUUCGUGCCAGCAGCCGCGGUAAUACGAGGGGUGCAAGCGUUAAUCGGAAUUACUGGGCGUAAAGCGAGCGUAGGCGGCUGAAUAAGCUGGAUGUGAAAAACCGGGGCUCAACCUCGGCCGUGCAUUCAGAACUGUUUAGCUAGAGUCCUGUAGAGGGGGGUAGAAUUUCA
RNAcentral lists this ribosomal RNA (681 nucleotides) under uncultured Vibrionaceae bacterium. RNAcentral's name for it is "bacterial SSU rRNA". It matches the Rfam family "Bacterial small subunit ribosomal RNA", at positions 1 to 671 of the family's 1533-position model. Lineage: Bacteria; Pseudomonadati; Pseudomonadota; Gammaproteobacteria; Vibrionales; Vibrionaceae. The record is from RNAcentral.